Small nucleolar RNA from Choloepus hoffmanni (Hoffmann's two-fingered sloth), 142 nucleotides. Lineage: Eukaryota; Metazoa; Chordata; Mammalia; Pilosa; Megalonychidae. The record is from Ensembl.
AUAUUAGGCAAUGACUCCCCAUUUGGGGGGAAGAUUUUUAGUCAUCUUUGCCAGCUACAGCUAUGUAGGAGGAAUAAAGACCACACUCCACAAAGGGCUAUACCAUAUAUGUAUAUUGCAUUAUUAUUUUGUGGCCUAGAGA